ACUCCCUACGGGGGGCAGCAGUGGGGAAUAUUGCACAAUGGGGGAAACCCUGAUGCAGCGACGCCGCGUGAGUGGAGAAGUAUUUCGGUAUGUAAAGCUCUAUCAGCAGGGAAGAAAUAGCGACCUUUGGGUCGCCAGACGGUACCUGAUUAAGAAGCCCCGGCUAACUACGUGCCAGCAGCCGCGGUAAUACGUAGGGGGCAAGCGUUAUCCGGAUUUACUGGGUGUAAAGGGAGCGUAGACGGCAAUACAAGUCGGAAGUGAAAUACCCGGGCUCAACCUGGGAACUGCUUUGGAAACUGUAU
RNAcentral lists this ribosomal RNA (305 nucleotides) under uncultured bacterium. Its description in RNAcentral is "bacterial SSU rRNA". It matches the Rfam family "Bacterial small subunit ribosomal RNA", at positions 334 to 638 of the family's 1533-position model. The record is from RNAcentral.